Long non-coding RNA from Oncorhynchus tshawytscha (Chinook salmon), 3519 nucleotides. The record is from Ensembl. Lineage: Eukaryota; Metazoa; Chordata; Actinopteri; Salmoniformes; Salmonidae.
GAACAUUCUCUCUUUAUUCGUAUAUUUUUUUUUAGAAAAACAAGUGUUUGUUUUUGUUGUAAUUGUCUUGUUUGUUAACAUUUUCAGAAUUCUGUACAGGAUAAAAAGAAAUAAAUCACUGCUUUUUAGGUACAGAGUCAAAAUCUCAAACUAGAAAAAAAUUAACUUCAAAAUCAACAGCAGAAGAAGUUUACAAUAGAAAUGAGCAGUAAGACAUCGUCAGAAGUGCAACGGCUCUGAUGGGUUAAGAGUGGAAAACAAUUACCGAAAUAAAAAUACUCCUCUAUUUUUAAUAAAAAACAAACAAACGGUCAUUUCUUUACAGAGUAGAGCCGGUAAUUAUCUGAUGUAAAAACAUAUUUACAAAGAGCCGUUAUUUAGUGGAUGUAUUUUCCCUCCGUCGUCGUCACAUCAGCACCGGAACCAAUGAACAACUCAACACGAACGUUGAAAAGAAGACAAAGUUACAGUUAAUGACAAUAAAUCAAAAAAUUACGUUUGACUUGGUCCCCGGGAAAUAAUGUCCGCACCACAAAUAGCACCCUAUUCCCUAUCGAGUGCACUACUUUCGCCCAGGGCUCAUAGGGAAUAAGGGGCCAUUGGGGACACAGACAACGAUAUUUGGAGGAAGCUUCUUUUCUGUUGUUGGAAGGGAAAUCCUUCACUUUGACAAAGAGGACCAAAAGUCAAGGGUCGCGACCUUUACGUGACCUUCAGGAUCCCAUAACACUGACCAGGAAGUGUUUAAUGCUCAACCCUUCACACUCGACAAGCAGCCUCCUCUGAGUAGGACGAAGUUACGCCCCCUUUAGACACUGACCUAAGAUCAGUUUUGUGUUUGUCCUCGCCCAACAGUGAAGGGUGGAGGGUUUGAGGAACUGAUCCUAGAUCUCUCUUUCAGGGACACUCUGACUGAGCCGGUCUUUCUCACAACACUACAGAACCACAGAGGACAACCUACAUUACCAAAAUAUUAAAAUAAAAUAUAAACUAAACAUUUAUCGAAACAAUUUCUUGGGCGUUUUACCAACCGUAGCGGUGCUUUGGAGAGAGGUCAACUUCCAACUCACUUAGUUAGAUACACUAAAACUAUGUGUAUAUUUGACAGAAUAUAAUCAACAACAUUUGUGUGGUUGCUAUGGCGAGGCAGUGAACUAAACACGGGGUUAGUUAAGACUAGUAGAAGGUUUUUUGGCUGGUUUGUUGACAUGACAGAAUUCUCCUGUUCUCGUCACCUUGACCUUGAGAGAAGCCUGGGGUCAAACCUACCUCUUUCUCCGCCCAACACUCACCGUUGGGGGGGGGCACUGGUAAUAGUGUCAUUGUACAAGCCACGACCACAACCUCCUUUUUGAAACCUCUCCAUCUCGUUAGGGUUGGAGGUAUGUAUCUCUCUUCACAGUCAAACACUUCAUGUUCAUAACACCUGGAACCGACAAAACAGAGCUCAGAUUCAUCAACAGCUCGUUGUAUGUAGGUCUACCGGACCAAAGCAACAGAGGAGACAACAGAGAUAGUAUGAAUUGAGUUGAAGGUAAAGAUAACUGUCAAAAUAACAUUUCAUUUCAGACCAAUGUGGGAAGAACUUCAAACUUUUUUAAAGCAAAAAACACAAAAAGAAAAGAAAAGGACAAAAAAAAUCCUCGGGAUCCAAGAUGGCCGACAAACGGCUGUUAGUUUCUAUUUCAAAUGAAGUCACUUGUGGUGCUUGAAUACAUUCAAUGCCCAGCUAAUCCUGUUGCUAUACGUCUUUUUGAUCCAUUUAUAUAGAAUUGCUAAUAACACGGACAGAGGAUGAUGUCAUGUUGUUACUCCCUUAACUGCCUGACUAACUGACUAACUGACUGACUGACUGACUGGCUGACAAUGAUCUACUUCUCCUUUCAGCCGUCGGGGAGCGGUGUGUGUGGUGUGUGUGUGUGUGUGUGUGUGUGCUGUGUGUGUGCAACAGCUACCAGUGAACAGGAAAUGAAGAGAAGCUCGGCUGCUCGGCUCAGAGAGAGAGAGUAGGCCGGUUGCUUAGCAACAGGACCGUGGGGUGACCGCACAGCGCCUGCGCUAAAUAAAUACCGCCACAAAAGAAGAACGCAAUCUGUUUUGUUUUGAUGUUUUCACAGUACACACAGCCAGACGAACAACCCAACGCAGACAAAAAACACGUCUCUAGAGAGGAGAGAUGGGAGGGAGGGAGAGAGGGAGGGAGGGAGAGGGAAAAAGUGGGGAGAGAGGGGAGGGAAGGGAGAGUGAGAAGGAGAGAGGGGGCAGGGAGUGAGAGAGGGAGGGAAAGAGUGGGAAGGGAGGGAGAGAGAAAGAGAGAGAGAGACAGAGAGAGAGAGAGAGAGAGAGAGAGACAGAGAGAGAGAGAGAGAGAGAGAGAGUGAGAGACAGAGAGAGAGAGAGACAGAGAGAGACAGAGAGAGAGAGAGAGAGACAGAGAGAGAGAGAGAGAGUGAGACAGAGAGAGAGAGAGACAGAGAGGGAGAGACAGAGAGACAGAGAGAGAGAGAGACAGAGAGAGAUCUCAACCACAUCUCAGACAGACAGAGGUGACAGCUCUCUACCUAGCUCUGAUGGCUGUUACAGAAGUGGGUUGUGUGUGUGUUUAUCUCCUUGUCUGCCUGUCUGUCUGUCUGCUUGUCUGUCUGUCUGUCUCUCAAAGGGACCUGCAUGUGUAGAAAUGCUACGAUCACAUGCCACACGCCAUCACACACAACAUGAAUAUAACGAGAUGUGAAACCUGUCAGGCACAAUCCAAUAACCCAGGUAUCCAAGAAGAACUAAUACCGGAAAAAUAAAUAGAGAUGUUCUACCCCUAUAUUGAAAAACAAAUAUUAAAAAGACUCUCCCCUGUUUGAGAGCUUGUAGUCAGUCUCCUGUCUCUCCUGUCUUGUUGUCAGUCUCCUGUCUUGUAGUCAGUGUCCCGUCUCUCCUGUCUUGUAGUCAGUCUCCAGUCUCUCCUGUCUUGUUGUCAGUCUCCUGUCUUGUAGUCAGUCUCCUGUCUCUCCUGUCUUGUAGUCGGUCUCCUGUCUUGUAGUCAGUCUCCUGUCUUGUAGUCAGUCUCCUGUCUUGUAGUCAGUCUCCUGUCUUGUAGUCAGUGUCCUGUCUCUCCUUCAGUGUCCUGUCUCUCCUGUCUUGUAGUCAGUCUCCAGUCUCUCCUGUCUUGUAGUCAGUCUCCUGUCUUGUAGUCAGUGUCCUGUCUCUCCUGUCUUGUAGUCAGUGUCCCAUCUCUCCUGUCUUGUAGUCAGUGUCCUGUCUCUCCUGUCUUGUAGUCAGUGUCCCGUCUCUCCUGUCUUGUAGUCAGUGUCCUGUCUCCCCUGUCUUGUAGUCAGUGUCCUGUCUCUCCUGUCUUGUAGUCAGUGUCCCGUCUCUCCUGUCUUGUAGUCAGUGUCCUGUCUCCCCUGUCUUGUAGUCAGUGUCCUGUCUCUCCUGUCUUGUAGUCAGUGUCCCGUCUCUCCUGUCUUGUAGUCAGUGUCCUGUCUCUCCUGUCUUGUAGUCAGUGUCCUGUCUCCUGUCCUGUCC